RNAcentral lists this ribosomal RNA (434 nucleotides) under Vibrio parahaemolyticus. Its description in RNAcentral is "partial 23S ribosomal RNA". It matches the Rfam family "Bacterial large subunit ribosomal RNA", at positions 1147 to 1583 of the family's 2925-position model. The record is from RNAcentral. Lineage: Bacteria; Pseudomonadati; Pseudomonadota; Gammaproteobacteria; Vibrionales; Vibrionaceae.
GGUCGAGUCGGCCUGCGCGGAAGAUGUAACGGGGCUAAGUAGUAAACCGAAGCUGCGGCAAUGUGCUUUUGCACAUUGGGUAGGGGAGCGUUCUGUAAGCGGUUGAAGGUGUGUGGUAACGCAUGCUGGACGUAUCAGAAGUGCGAAUGCUGACAUGAGUAACGAUAAAGGGGGUGAAAAACCUCCUCGCCGGAAGACCAAGGGUUCCUGUCCAACGUUAAUCGGGGCAGGGUAAGUCGACCCCUAAGGCGAGGCCGAAAGGCGUAGUCGAUGGGAAACGGGUUAAUAUUCCCGUACUUCUUACAAUUGCGAUGGGGGGACGGAGAAGGCUAGGUGGGCCUGGCGACGGUUGUCCAGGUUCAAGUGCGUAGGCUUAAGAGUUAGGUAAAUCCGGCUCUUUUUAAGGCUGAGACACGACGUCGAGCUACUACGGU